UUACUACUGUGACAAUAUUUCUUGUAUUCGAUCUCCUAAGCCGAAUUUUCAUGUAACUAUGUAGAGAAUUAUUGAAUUGUAUUUCAAUGAGAGGUUUUUGAAGUUACCUAAAGUUUUGUCACUAGUAUACAAACUUUGGCGGUUAAAUACUUAAUAUGACGCGAGUAACGAGUGAAUUCUGUUCUGGGAGUAAUUAAUUGAGAUUUUUAUAGUAAAGCUCUUUAAAUUGUUCUUUAGGCACCUCUUAAAUAACGUUCUGUCUUUGCAGGGUGUCUUGUAUAUUCAUUGUUCAAUGUAUUUUUCAAUUUCAUUCAGAAUUACGUGAUUUAUCUGUACAUUUCUGUUUUGAUACUCAUAGACAUUAAAAUAUGGGUAUAACCGGUUUAAUACCUUUCUUAGAGAAAUCAUCUAAACGGUGCAAUAUUAGUCAAUUUGUUGGAAGUACAGUAGCUAUUGAUUCUUACUGUUGGCUACACAGAGGUGCAUUUUCAUGUGCUGAAAAACUAGCGUUGGGACAAGAGACUGAUGCCUAUGUCAAAUACUGUAUGAAAUUUAUAGACAUGUUACUCGCAAAUAGAAUAAAACCAAUACUUGUGUUUGAUGGACGUCAUUUACCUGCUAAGGCUGAAACCGAAGCAAAGCGAAGAGAAUCAAGAGAUGCUAAUCGUCGCCGAGCAGCUGAGCUGAUGCGCAUGGGACAAACAGCUGAGGGCAGAAAUUUAUUAAGGAGAUCAAUGGACAUAACGCACGAAAUGGCACUUAAUUUAAUUAUCAGCUGUCAAAGACGGAAUAUUGAUUGUAUAGUUGCACCAUACGAAGCUGAUGCUCAGUUGGCUUAUUUAAAUUUAUCUGGUAUUGCAGAUGUUGUUAUAACAGAGGAUAGUGAUCUCACAUUGUUUGGAUGUAAAAAAAUAUUUUUUAAAAUGGAUGUAUAUGGUAAUGGACUUCUUGUACAGCAAGAUCGCCUUCAUUUAUCAAUGGGUAUACGCAUAGAACAUUUUGACAUGGACAAAUUCCGUUACAUGGGUAUUCUAUCGGGUUGUGAUUAUCUAGCAUCAUUGCCUGGAAUUGGUCUGAACAAAGCUUGUAGAUUUAUCAUUAAAAAUACGGACAGUGACAUACACAGAGCACUCUGUAGACUUGGCUCGUAUCUCAAUAUGAAAACUCUGGUUGUAUCAAAAGAAUAUCGUGACGCUUUUAUGCGAGCACUAAUCACAUUCAAGCACCAGUUAGUAUUUUGUCCUUUGCAAAGGAAGCAGGUGCGGUUGAAUCCACCAACUAACGAUAUUACUCAAGAGCAGCUAUAUUAUGCGGGCAAAGAGGUUGAGGCUGAUUUAGCAUGGCAAUUGGCUCUUGGUAAUUGUGAUCCUUUCACGUUCAAGAAACUUCACGACUUUGAUCCUGACAGUUUACAAACUGAAAGAAUUACACGAGGAAAAUCAAAUUCUUGGAGGACGAACAAUAUAAGUAAACACGUGAGCAUUUGGUCGAAGGAAUUUAUCGUCAAGGAGAAACAAUCAGCGAAGGAGGAAGAGACAAUCUCAUGGCCAACUACAGCUGGAAAAGUUGUGGUUCUAAAGACAACUGUAAAAAGGAAACACACUGCCAUAAAACAUGAGAGUCACGAGGAUAAGGAAAUGGAGACAGCGGAAUUACUUGAGAUGUAUGGCACUCCUGAGUCUAAAAAUGAUUCAGAGGAAACAGAGAGCGAAAAUAAAACAAUGCUAAAUCUAGAUAGAUCUUUUAAUGGGAGUGAUCAAACUUCACCAGUAUUAGUAAGAAGUUCGAAUCCUUUUGCUAAGGAAAAAACCAAUCAAAUCUCACCAAGCACUUUAAACGUUAAACGGAGGCCAUUCCGCAGGCGUAAUCUUGCGCGUUUUAAACCAACGGUCAUUGACUCCGAUGUUGUCACAGAGAGUAAAUUUUUUCGUGGCUCUAUAUCGGUAGAAAAAUUAUCCUGUGAUCCAGCAACCACUACUUCUAAUGUAAUUACAAAUGAAUACUGCAAAGAACAAAUUCACCAAGUCUCCAAGGAAAAUAAUGAAUCAGAAUCUGGACUUUUAUCAAAUAUGGAUAAUGUGUUCGAUAAGGUAGUUGUUACACAUGCAUCUACUGUCAUGGAUUUUAAUCAUCAAUUGCGACUUCCUAUUAGUAAAGAUCAAAGCAUGGAAGUAACAGAGACAGAAACAACAGAGGAACUGAACUCCAUUGUAAAUGUUGUAUCGAAAGUCCCAUUAAAAGAAGUCUGUGACGGUGAAGUCGCUAUGAGAAGUUUGAGAAAUAAUAGUGAUGGUAAUUUGACUGGAGAGAAGGAUGAUGAUUCCAGAAGCUCGAGUUCUAAAUCUGAAUUAGAUUGUUCGGUGGAUUCUACCGAUAUUACUGAUGCGAGGUCCAAUUUCUCCCGGUGGGCAAAUCCAAAAGCAAAUAUCGAAAUCAUAAAUCGGAUCGAAUCGAGUACCUCGUGGAAUUCAUUGAUGGGUUCACGAAGCAUCAGCACAAGAAGUCAAAAAACGAUUUUAGAACACCGUGGGAAGAGGUAGAGGAAUAAAGCGAACACAGUCUGGAAAGAAAAAAAUAACAGAUCAGGAUCAGCAAACUAAUUUAAAAAUGUUCGGAUUUCAGAAAAAAACCAUUCUAAAGCACUAACAGUGGUAUUCAGAAGAGUGAGUUUAAAUCAUAACAUAUACUAAUUGAUGGCAGGACCACCUCUCCAUUGAGAAGAACAAUUCC
Molecule: RNA transcript, 2730 nt
Organism: Cephus cinctus (wheat stem sawfly)
Lineage: Eukaryota; Metazoa; Arthropoda; Insecta; Hymenoptera; Cephidae
Gene: tos
Gene name: exonuclease 1
Exons: 9
Source: RefSeq, a predicted model, not a curated record